AAAGGGAGCGUAGGUGGACUGAUAAGUCAGUGGUGAAAUCUCCGAGCUUAACUCGGAAAUUGCCAUUGAUACUGCCGGUCUUGAGUACAGUUGCUGUGGGCGGAAUAUGACAUGUAGUGGUGAAAUACAUAGAGAUGUCAUAGAACACCGAUUGCGAAGGCAGCUCACAAAGCUGUAACUGACACUGAGGCUCGAAAGUGCGGGGAUCAAACAGGAUUAGAUACCCUUGU
RNAcentral lists this ribosomal RNA (230 nucleotides) under uncultured bacterium. RNAcentral's name for it is "partial 16S ribosomal RNA". It matches the Rfam family "Bacterial small subunit ribosomal RNA", at positions 562 to 791 of the family's 1533-position model. The record is from RNAcentral.